RNAcentral lists this ribosomal RNA (243 nucleotides) under Proteus mirabilis. Its description in RNAcentral is "partial 16S ribosomal RNA". It matches the Rfam family "Bacterial small subunit ribosomal RNA", at positions 161 to 406 of the family's 1533-position model. The record is from RNAcentral. Lineage: Bacteria; Pseudomonadati; Pseudomonadota; Gammaproteobacteria; Enterobacterales; Morganellaceae.
GGCUAAUACCGCAUAAUGUCUACGGACCAAAGCAGGGGCUCUUCGGACCUUGCACUAUCGGAUGAACCCAUAUGGGAUUAGCUAGUAGGUGGGGUAAAGGCUCACCUAGGCGACGAUCUCUAGCUGGUCUGAGAGGAUGAUCAGCCACACUGGGACUGAGACACGGCCCAGACUCCUACGGGAGGCAGCAGUGGGGAAUAUUGCACAAUGGGCGCAAGCCUGAUGCAGCCAUGCCGCGUGUAU